This 254-nucleotide ribosomal RNA is filed under the name uncultured bacterium. RNAcentral describes it as "partial 16S ribosomal RNA". It matches the Rfam family "Bacterial small subunit ribosomal RNA", at positions 524 to 776 of the family's 1533-position model. The record is from RNAcentral.
UACGAAGGGGGCUAGCGUUGUUCGGAAUUAUUGGGCGUAAAGCGCACGUAGGCGGCCCGUUAAGUCCCUUGGUGAAAGGCCGGGGCUCAACCCCGAGCAUGCCGGGGAUACUGGGGGGCUGGAGACAGGUAGAGGCCAGCGGAAUUCCGGGUGUAGCGGUGGAAUGCGUAGAGAUCCGGAAGAACACCGGAGGCGAAGGCGGCUGGCUGGACCUGAUCUGACGCUGAGGUGCGAAAGCGUGGGGAGCGAACAGG